CACCCAGGCUGGAGUGCAGUGGUGCUAUCUUGGCUCACUGCAACCUCUGCCUCCUGGGUUCAAGUGAUUCUCAUGCCUCAGCCUCCAGAGUAGCUGGGACUACAGGCACACACCACCACACCCAGCUAAUUUUUUUUAUUUUUAGUAGAGACAAGGUUUCACUAUGUUGGCCAGGCUGGUCUUGAACUCCCAACCUCAAGUGAUCCAUCUGCCUCAUGAAUUUCUUAUGUAGAAGUCAGCCAGUAACUUGCCUUGUCUUAAAAACACCUUACAGGCUGGGCGCGGUGGCUCACGCCUGUAAUCCCAGCACUUUGGGAGGCUGAGGCAGACAGAUCACUUGAGGUCGGGAGUUCCAGACCAGCCUGGCCAACAUGGUGAAACCCAAUCUCUACUAAAAAUACAAAAAUUCACAGGGCGUGAUGGCAUGCACCUGUAGCACCAGCUACUCAGGAGGCUGAGGCAGGAGAAUCACUUGAACCUAAGAGGUGGAGGUUGCAGUGAGCCGAGAUUGCAUUGCUGCACUCCAGCCUGGGUGACAGAUUAAGACUCAGUCUCAAAACCAAACCAAACCCCAAAACACCUUACAGUGACUUACACUGUAGGGGUGGUCAUAAGAAAUCUUCAAGUGUUUAAGGAAACACCAUCAGUAGAUAACUGGGAGAACUAUGCAAAUGAGGCUACUCUAGAUUACUCAGAGGAUUUUCUCAGAGGGAUAGCUGACUUGUCAUGUAUAUAUGCACCUGCGCCAGUUAUUCCUACAAUGUGAGCCCGCCAAUUAAAAGAAUGAAACAAAAUUUUUCCUAACUUUAGCUGAAAUGAUCAGUGAUAUCAUAUUGGCUCUGGAAGGGAUUCAAAUCCACCUCACUUCACUGCUUAGGGUUGUUGAUUGAUAUAACUGCCCUAGAUUUCCUUCUUGCAGGCCAUGAUGAAAUAUGUGUAAAUGCUAAUACAUCUUGCUGUACUUGGAUAUAUUCCUUGGGCCAAGUGGAAAAAAUCAAUUCAUAAACAAUGCCAAGGAGGCAGCCGAAGUAGACCCUAAAGCUUUAUAAGAUUUGUUCAGCCGAUUGUGCCUGGAACCCUGGAAAACAUGGUUAUUAAUAUUGCAGGUUGGCCUUAUCUUGCUACCAGUAGUCUUGUUGACAAUAGCCUUAUUAAUGCUGUAUGAAACAAAUUGAAUAGAUUUGGUCUCAGCCUCUGGUGAAGAUUCAUCAGAGUGACUUAACAGUGUGGCAUACUCAUGGGAAAGUUUGCCAGAAGUCAAGAAAGUACAGAAACAAGGGGUGGAUGUUGAG
RNAcentral lists this long non-coding RNA (1292 nucleotides) under Homo sapiens (human). RNAcentral describes it as "HSALNT0353107". The record is from RNAcentral. Lineage: Eukaryota; Metazoa; Chordata; Mammalia; Primates; Hominidae.